CAUAGUUCUGCAAUGAAAGAGAGCAUUGUUUUCUUGCUUAUUUACAAAGAAAUCUUCAGAGUCUGUAGCUAUAGUCGAAAACAACUUGUGUACAUUUUUACACGGACACAGCUCUUUGCAACUCAGAAGCUGAUUGGAUCCAUACACCCUCCAGGCAGGACUUUGCCAUGAUAAAGAAAACGAAUAUCUAGGACUUACGGAGGAAGCAAAGAUGGACUGAAAAUAACUCCAUGAAAAGUAGAACUGAUGGCCAUGGUGAAGAAUGAAGAGCCAUUUAGUAGACCAGCUUUUUGAAUUUCUCCAAAGAGGAUGGGAGAUUGCCAUUUUUAGAGACAUAAAUUAGAUAAACAAUUUUAACUUGGAGACUAGAGGGAAUUAAACAUUUUAAUUAAAGGAGAAGAAUAAAUAAACUUGAUUGAUAGCUACAGAAUAACAUAAGAUAACAUUGCAAAUACUGAAUGAUACUUUUGAAAAUGGAAUCAGAAGUUCAUAUCAAUAGCAAUGUUUGUUCCUAUGGAUAGAUUGUGUCCAAAAGAUGUUUUUGAAGAAAUGGCAGAAGAAGAAGUUUUAUUUUACAAAACAAAUUUUAUCUUAUAGAGUUGAUACUGACAGUGUGUUUACUAAUAAAAGGCUACAAAAAUGAUAUGGAAAAAAAAGAUAUUUCAAUGAACACAUAAAAGAAACUGGUUGAUACUUUAAAAAUCAAAUGGGAAUUAUAAAUCUUAAACCAAGAGAGUCACCUGGAUAGUUCUUUUAUAUUGGAUUUACAAAAGAGGUUUGUUAAAGCUUGAAUGGAUCUUGUAAGAAGAAGUAAAAAAAGAAAUUUUAAAAAAUCAAGUUCUACAACAUUACUUAAAUGGACUAAAGAUCUGAUCAAAGUUAAAAAGUUGAUCAAAUUGAUGAAGAUUAAAAGUUGAUGAUGGUUGAAAUAGAUAUAAAACAGGACAUGGUAUGAAGAGAUCAUUGGUUAUAAAUUAAGAUGAGAUGAAAAGUUACUAAAAUUGUUUCUAUUUUUUCUUUGUCGUUAGAUACUCCUUUCUUUCUUUCUUUCUUUCU
Molecule: long non-coding RNA, 1056 nt
Organism: Crotalus tigris (Tiger rattlesnake)
Lineage: Eukaryota; Metazoa; Chordata; Lepidosauria; Squamata; Viperidae
Exons: 3
Source: RefSeq, a predicted model, not a curated record